Molecule: non-coding RNA, 93 nt
Organism: Byssothecium circinans
Lineage: Eukaryota; Fungi; Ascomycota; Dothideomycetes; Pleosporales; Massarinaceae
Source: the annotation of a GenBank genome assembly
GGUUUUGUGGUCUAGAGGUAUGAUUCUCGCUUAGGGCUUCGUGUCCAUGAGCAACAUUGCGAGAGGCCCCGGGUUCGACUCCCGGCAAAACCC